GUUAGGAAUAUUGGACAAUGGGCGAAAGCCUGAUCCAGCCAUGCCGCGUGAACGAUGAAGGCCUUCGGGUUGUAAAGUUCUUUGGCCGAUGAUUAUAAUGACUGUAGUCGGAAAAUAAGCCCCGGCUAACUUCGUGCCAGCAGCCGCGGUAAUACGAAGGGGGCGAGCGUUAUUCGGAAUCACUGGGCGUAAAGCGUGCGUAGGCGGUUUUGUAAGUUAGGAGUGAAAGCCCAGGGCUCAACCUUGGAAUUGCUCUUAAAACUGCAAGGCUCGAAUCUCGGAGAGGAUAGCGGAAUUUCCAGUGUAGCAGUGAAAUGCGUAGAUAUUGGAAGGAACACCAGUGGCGUAAGCGGCUAUCUGGACGAGUAUUGACGCUGAGGCACGAAAGCGUGGGGAUCAAACAGGAUUAGAAACCCUAGUAGUCC
RNAcentral lists this ribosomal RNA (425 nucleotides) under uncultured bacterium. RNAcentral's name for it is "partial 16S ribosomal RNA". It matches the Rfam family "Bacterial small subunit ribosomal RNA", at positions 354 to 796 of the family's 1533-position model. The record is from RNAcentral.